GUGCUUGCUUUGGCAACAUACACACUAAAGUUAGAAUGAUGCAGAAUUUAGCACAGCCCCUGAACAAGGAUGACAUGCAAAUUUGUGAAGCUGCCCACUUUUUU
This 104-nucleotide small nuclear RNA is filed under the name Jaculus jaculus (lesser Egyptian jerboa). Lineage: Eukaryota; Metazoa; Chordata; Mammalia; Rodentia; Dipodidae. The record is from RNAcentral.